CCUACGGGCGGCAGCAGUCGAGAAUCAUUCACAAUGGGGGAAACCCUGAUGGUGCGACGCCGCGUGGGGGAAUGAAGGUCUUCGGAUUGUAAACCCCUGUCAUGUGGGAGCAAAUUAAAAAGAUAGUACCACAAGAGGAAGAGACGGCUAACUCUGUGCCAGCAGCCGGGGGAAUACAGAGGUCUCAAGCGUUGUUCGGAAUCACUGGGCGUAAAGCGUGCGUAGGCUGUUUCGUAAGUCGUGUGUGAAAGGCGCGGGCUCAACCCGCGGACGGCACAUGAUACUGCGAGACUAGAGUAAUGGAGGGGGAACCGGAAUUCUCGGUGUAGCAGUGAAAUGCGUAGAUAUCGAGAGGAACACUCGUGGCGAAGGCGGGUUCCUGGACAUUAACUGACGCUGAGGCACGAAGGCCAGGGGAGCGAAAGGGAUUAGAUACCCCUAGCAGUC
RNAcentral lists this ribosomal RNA (447 nucleotides) under uncultured bacterium. Its description in RNAcentral is "partial 16S ribosomal RNA". It matches the Rfam family "Bacterial small subunit ribosomal RNA", at positions 338 to 795 of the family's 1533-position model. The record is from RNAcentral.